AUUGACCGCUGGUGGCAGGCCUAAAACAUGCACGUCGAGCGGAGCGGCGGACGGGUGAGUAAUGCCUCGGAAUCUGCCUGUUGGUGGGGGAUAACGUCCGGAAACGGGCGCUAAUAUCGCAUAAGAUCAGAUGAGACUAGGUCGUAUUAGCUAGUUGGUGGGGAAAAGGCCUACAAAUGCGACGAUCCUUAACUGGUCUGAGAGGAUGAUCAGUCACACGGGAACUGAGAAACGGCCCAGACUCCUACGGGAGGCAGCAGUGGGGAAUAUUGGAAAAUGGGCGAAAGCCUGAUCCAGCCAUGCCGCGUGUGUGAAGAAGGUCUUCGGAUUGUAAAGCACUUUAAGUUGGGAGGCGUUACCAACAGAAUAAGCACCGGCUAACUUCGUGCCAGCAGCCGCGGUAAUAC
This 407-nucleotide ribosomal RNA is filed under the name uncultured bacterium. RNAcentral's name for it is "partial 16S ribosomal RNA". It matches the Rfam family "Bacterial small subunit ribosomal RNA", at positions 30 to 526 of the family's 1533-position model. The record is from RNAcentral.